RNAcentral lists this ribosomal RNA (372 nucleotides) under uncultured bacterium. Its description in RNAcentral is "bacterial SSU rRNA". It matches the Rfam family "Bacterial small subunit ribosomal RNA", at positions 524 to 898 of the family's 1533-position model. The record is from RNAcentral.
UACGGAGGGUGCAAGCGUUAUCCGGAUUCACUGGGUUUAAAGGGUGCGUAGGUGGAGUGGUAAGUCAGUGGUGAAAUCUCCAAGCUUAACUUGGAAACUGCCGUUGAUACUAUCAUUCUUGAAUAUCGUGGAGGUAAGCGGAAUAUGUCAUGUAGCGGUGAAAUGCUUAGAUAUGACAUAGAACACCGAUUGCGAAGGCAGCUUGCUACACGAUCAUUGACACUGAGGCACGAAAGCGUGGGGAUCAAACAGGAUUAGAUACCCUGGUAGUCCACGCCCUAAACGAUGAUUACUCGACAUCAGCGAUACACUGUUGGUGUCUGAGCGAAAGCAUUAAGUAAUCCACCUGGGAAGUACGAUCGCAAGAUUGAA